This 410-nucleotide ribosomal RNA is filed under the name uncultured bacterium. RNAcentral's name for it is "bacterial SSU rRNA". It matches the Rfam family "Bacterial small subunit ribosomal RNA", at positions 505 to 916 of the family's 1533-position model. The record is from RNAcentral.
GUGUCAGCCGCCGCGGUAAUACGUAGGGGGCGAGCGUUACCCGGAAUUACUGGGCGUAAAGGGUGCGUAGGCGGCCUUGCAAGUCCGGUGUUAAAAGCCCUGGCUCAACUAGGGAGAUGCGCUGGAAACUGUAAGGCUUGGGUGCAGCAGAGGCAGAUGGAACUGCUGGUGUAGGGGUGAAAUCCGUAGAUAUCAGCAGGAACGCCGGUGGAGAAGUCGGUCUGCUGGGCUGUGACCGACGCUGAGGCACGAAAGCUAGGGGAGCGAACCGGAUUAGAUACCCGGUUAGUCCUAGCCGUAAACGAUGCUCACUUGGUGUGGGGGCAUAGAGCCUCUGUGCUGAAGCGAACGCGUUAAGUGAGCCGCCUGGGGAGUAUGCCCGCAAGGGUGAAACUUAAAGGAAUUGGCGG